GCAGCAGCGAUAUGGCUGAUCAUCACCGGACGGGACGGUGCUGUUUAUAAGCGAAAGUAAAGGCAAAAAAUGCGUUAUUACAGGUCCAUGAUGCACUUGCUCAGGCAACGAGACAUUGCGACACGCUAUAUAACCCAGGGAUAAGAGUUACCUGACGGGUAAAGAGGCAAUCUGGUGUGUUUUAGGGGAAACUAGUUGGAGGAACUUGUCGCAGUGGAUUCAUCCCAGCGUGCUGCCUGGAUUACCAUACACAAGUGGAACAAUAGUCUCCUGCAGCAGAAACACUAGCAGGCCCGUGGGCCCCGGUGGUGCGGUUGAGAAGAUGGACAGGAUGAAGAUAAUCAAGCGGAGGCUGUCCAUGUCUCUACGCAGUGCUCGGCCCGUCGAUGACUCCCUGUCGGAGCUGGCAGAACAGAUGGCCUUGGAUGAGCCAGCCGCAGCAAGGGACAAUGGUGAGACACGUGAGCAAGUGCACCCACACACAGAGCCCAUGGUGGUGUGCGCCGUGCACCCUCCCGCCUCACACAGUGCUCCUUCCUUCCUGCGUCAAUAUGCUGGUCAUCUGGGCCGCACCGCCCUACGCAGAGAGCCGGGUGGGGGGCUGGAAAGAGACAGAGCCUACCUGAGCCUGCACAGGACUGGAUCUUUGGGCAUCGUUCAUGAAAAUGUGAAGAUGGGUUCAGAUGGGGAGAGUGACCAGGCAUCAGGGACCUCUUCUGAUGAGGUCCAGAGUCCAGUCAGGGUUCGUAUGAGGAACAACCACCACCGACGCAUCUCUAAUGAGGACAUAAACAAACGUUUGUCUCUCCCAGCUGACAUCAGGCUACCGGAGGGCUACUUGGAGAAGUUUGCCAUGAACAGCCCGCCCUUUGACAAGCCCAUGAGCCGCAGGCUACGGCGCGCUUCAUUGUCUGAAAUCGGCUUUGGGAAACUGGAGACCUACAUCAAACUGGACAAACUGGGGGAGGGGACAUAUGCUACAGUAUUUAAAGGGCGAAGCAAGUUAACAGACAACUUAGUGGCUCUGAAAGAGAUCAGACUGGAGCAUGAGGAGGGUGCGCCCUGCACAGCUAUCCGGGAAGUGUCUCUACUGAAAGACUUGAAGCACGCCAAUAUUGUCACUCUCCAUGACAUUAUCCACACUGACAAGUGCCUGACACUCGUGUUUGAGUACCUGGAGAAAGAUCUCAAGCAGUACAUGGAUGACUGUGGAAGCAUUAUGAGUGUCCACAAUGUCAAGAUAUUCCUAUUCCAGCUGUUACGAGGUCUGGCAUACUGCCACAGAAGAAAGGUCCUCCACAGAGACCUCAAACCCCAGAACCUCCUCAUCAAUGAAAAAGGAGAGCUCAAACUGGCAGAUUUUGGUUUGGCACGAGCCAAGUCUGUUCCUACAAAGACCUACUCCAAUGAAGUCGUGACAUUAUGGUACCGACCACCGGAUGUGCUUCUAGGCUCCACUGAGUACUCUACACCCAUUGAUAUGUGGGGUGUGGGCUGUAUCUUUUAUGAAAUGAUCACUGGCAGACCCCUCUUCCCCGGAUCGACUGUGGAGGACGAGCUACACCUCAUAUUUCGCAUCCUUGGUACUCCAACAGAGGAGACUUGGCCUGGUAUCACCACCAGUGAAGAGUUCAAGACGUACAAUUUCCCCCAAUACCACCCGGAGCCCCUUGUCAACCAUGCUCCCAGGAUAGACAACGAUGGUCACGACUUGCUUUCAGUGCUUCUACAGUUUGAGGCUAAGAAGAGAAUAUCAGCUGAGGAUGCUCUCAGACACUCAUAUUUCAGAAGUUUUGGGGAGCAGGUUCAAACACUGGCUGACACGGCAUCCAUCUUCUCUGUAAAAGGCAUUCAGCUCCAGAAAGAUCCAGGGAAGAGGUCCUCAGUCUACCCAGAGUCAACAAUGGCCCAUAGGCUAGGCUCUGCACCCUCGCAGUACUUCCAGAGAGAAGCAGCCAAUCCCAGGGCUCAGAGUCACAAUCUCUCCUCCACUUCCACUGGCUGAGUGGCCCCUACCGUUCUGUCCUGUUUAGGUUUCUGCAGCGAGAGAUGUAGCCUUUUUGUUGAGUCUCCCAGGGGAAGAGCAGGAGGCAGAGUGUGUUAUUUUAGUGCUGGCGGGGGCGCUGAGGUGAGGAGGACAGUGACACAUGGAGCUGUCCUGUCAGACAUACAUUCACUGACCCUGCCACACACACACUGAAGGAGCGACACACAAACUGAAGAAAAACACAAACACAUACAGCAACAUGGAAACAAAACCACACAGAAUUUAGAUUGAAGUAUUCGUACUUGACGAUAAAAAAUAAAGACUUAGCUCAACCCUAAAGACAGAAAAAUUUUAAUGAUGAGAGAAGUGUUGAGAUGCUGGAGGAAAAGUGGGAGAGUACAAGAUUCUCCUUGCUGCUACUACCGCUGCUGUCCAGAGGAGGGCAGCAUUCAGGACGUGGGCUUUUUUGAACAGAACUUACUGCAUCAGUGAGCAGUGAGGAAGAAGGAGUGAGACGUGAUUCAAAGGCAAAGAUAGAGAAAGAAAAAUCUGUCACUUUCUCUCCUGCGCUUUUCUUUUCUUUUUCUGUUCGGACUGUUGUUGUACAUAAAGAGACUGAGCUGUACAACUCUGCUUUUUCAUAACACGCCUCAGCCUGAGUCCAAACUCUGAAUAUUGCACCUCAACCCUAAACCCUCGCCUAACCUUAUGGCCCUUUAUUACACAAACAACACACACAUUUUCUCUUUCUCUCUGCUUUUCUGUUUCUCUCUUAAACACACACACACACACACACACACACACACACACACACACACACACACAUACAGAGUUCACUUGAAAAUUAAGAGUGUCUAGGAGUGGAGUUUACAGAGAUAAACUUUAGCACCUUAUUGUCCACUAGGGGUCAGGGUGGCUGUCAUUACCUCAUCAGUCACUUAAGCAGAGUAGGAUGUAAAGUACAUGCUAGAUAUUAGACUGAAGAAGAAUCAAAAUAACAAACCAAAAAAAAAGAGAAACUCACUAACCAUAUAGGACAGAUACCUUCACCGCUGGAAUUGGACACUAUAAAACACUCACAAAGCAGUAGGAGACAAUGAUCGCAUUCGUCACGUUGCUCACAUGCUGUAAAAGAACCACGCUGCUCCUGUUUCAGUACUCAACAAAGACAGAGAGGUAAAGCAAGUGUACAAAAACCUUAUGUGCUUAUUCUAAGACACCCCCUCUCCUCGUUUGCCUUGACUCAGAAGUUGUCUUGAUUUGUUGUGUGAUGUGUGGGUGUUCAAAAACUUUGCACCUGAUUUUACCUCUUUAGAGUAGACCAUUCAACAACCCCAACCCUCUCCUGCCCGCAACUCCACUUGCAUUUAUUUUUACUCUUUAUUUUUCAAUCUGUAUAUAUGAUCAUACUUUUUACUUGUCAGAAGCAAUGAUAAUUCCAGGAUGCUGUUUUCAGUCUUUACUGUGUUCCCAACCGGAACAGUGUGGCGACUGGCUGGGGACGUGUUGCACAUUCCUUGAGCUCAGGACUUAUUGCUAUAGUGUCAUUUUGUGGAUGCUGUGAGGAGCAGCUGGUCUUGUAUGUCCCCCCAGUAGAACAGAGUGUGUCGAUCAUGACCUGAAACCCCCUUUUUGUGAGCUGGUUCAAACUGUAUGUGAAGCAGAUGAAUUACUUAGCAUUGACCUGUCAGUCCUCGGUGUCACUUUGUUAAUUUGACCAUAACAUUGCUAUUCAGUGACUACCUUGCCCAUGUCAUCAGAUUCUUCAAGCAUGUUUGUGUAUUUAACACUCAGUUGGUAUGUGAAAUAGCUGUUGCUGGAAGAGGAGUAUCUCCAGUUGGUUUUAAAUUGUGCAUGGGACAUGAGCGAUUUUUCUUAACACCAAACACCACAUAAACCUGUAAAUGGCUCCUCAGUAGUCCCUUUUACACUGCCUGUUCAAGGUGGGAAUAUCGUGCUGUUCUGCAGUGUUGUUGUUCUGUAUAUAAGGUACAAAUGGGGGGGGGAGAAAGUUGUCUUGCCUUUAAUCUGCCACUGAAGAUAGUAACAGCACAGACAUGGUGUCUGUAUAAUCAGGACAGCCAGCAGGACAGGACCAUGGACAGGACAGGUGUGACAUUUUGAUUACAUGUUAUGUGUGUAACCUACAGUGGGAGAUUUAAAAGGCAAUUCGUAACAGUUAGUGGCUAACUCAAAGAUGAAGAACAGUGGCUCCAAAUGUUCGCAAAUUGGGAACACAGGAAGAUUCAGGAGCUCCCUACCCUCCGAGCAGAGGAUGAGAUCAGCCACCAUAUAACAGGGAGUUAAAUAAUUGUUGUUGCCAUGUUACUCCAUUGCGAUUGUGUAGAAAGAGUUAGAUUGAUAGAUAUAUUGAUUCUUUAUUGUCUGUCUCGAGGAAAAAAAAGAAAUUAAUCUUUAAAAACAGCUCAAUGAAGAAUUUAAACAUAAUUAAGAACCACGACCAGGCACACAGUGCGUAUGUAAUAGGGUCAACCUGACUCAGAAUUAUACCAGUUGAAACGGAUAUGGCAGUUCAAUACAAAUAUUUAGCCAUUCACUUUGUUUUUCUUAUGAAAUUUUAAGUUUGUAUGGGCUCAGAGGGACGUUCAAUUAUACAGCGGCAUUCACGUAAUGUAGUAAACAAGCUAAUGGUACGAAUGACAGGGGUCAUAAAUGUGCAACAGCAUUUUUUGCAGACACUAGAUAUAAAACAAAAGCCAGAGACUGUAUUGAAUUAAAUUUGCUGUGAGC
This is an RNA transcript of Plectropomus leopardus (leopard coralgrouper), 4738 nucleotides long. It is a transcript of the gene named cyclin-dependent kinase 17-like, with no coding region annotated. Lineage: Eukaryota; Metazoa; Chordata; Actinopteri; Perciformes; Serranidae. The record is from RefSeq and is a predicted model, not a curated record.